UGAAAAGACAGCAUCAAUGGAACCCCGAUUCGACGAGUCACCAUGGAAACGGGGAAGCGAAAGGCUGCGUUUUUGAACUGGAAGUUUUUAACGCGCUCAUAUGGAGAGUUUGAACACGUUUUUAGAAAGAAGUGCAACACCGCUGCAGCUGCAAAAGAGAGAGAGACGGCGUGGAGAACAGCCCGGAUCAAUGCAGCAUGGCUGGACAGCAGCAGGAUGGUUCCUCAGCUUCCACUGCACAGACUGACACAGUGAGAUGGAUGUUCAGGAAACACCAGAGCUUCAUUCUGUGGAAUUCAUGUGCAACUGUAUCAUUGAAUGUCCUCUAUGUAUUCCCAGUUAUCAGUAAAACAGAUUUACAAACUGUAUUUGCUGAGAAAAAUCCAAAAAACAGAUUAGGAGGGCAGAUCUGGAAAUAGAAAUACUGGAGCACAAGUUAGAGGUGGUGAUGGUCACAGGUGAAUUAUGUUAACUACUGGAACAUGAACUGAACUAUCUUUUAUUUGUAGGAAAUAAAGAAGAGCAAAUGAAA
Molecule: long non-coding RNA, 532 nt
Organism: Acanthochromis polyacanthus (spiny chromis)
Lineage: Eukaryota; Metazoa; Chordata; Actinopteri; Pomacentridae
Exons: 2
Source: RefSeq, a predicted model, not a curated record